Molecule: ribosomal RNA, 180 nt
Filed under: Triticum aestivum (bread wheat)
Lineage: Eukaryota; Viridiplantae; Streptophyta; Magnoliopsida; Poales; Poaceae
Description: partial small subunit ribosomal RNA
Source: RNAcentral
AUGGCCGAAUCCGACCUCGAGGACAAGCUGAAUGCGAUCCGCAAGACCAACAGCAACCUGGUGAUCAUAGGCAAGCCUACCAACGACGUCAAGGAGGAGUACGACGCGGAGGUGGAGGAGGACGACGUCGACAACGUCGACGAGUCCGACGGGGACGACUUCGACCAAGAAACCGGCUGA